This 465-nucleotide ribosomal RNA is filed under the name uncultured bacterium. RNAcentral's name for it is "partial 16S ribosomal RNA". It matches the Rfam family "Bacterial small subunit ribosomal RNA", at positions 28 to 507 of the family's 1533-position model. The record is from RNAcentral.
GAUGAACGCUGGCGGCGUGCUUAACACAUGCAAGUCGAACGGAAAGGCUCCUGCUUGCAGGGGUACUCGAGUGGCGAACGGGUGAGUAACACGUGGGUGAUCUGCCCUGCACUUCGGGAUAAGACUGGGAAACUGGGUCUAAUACCGGAUAGGACGAUGGUUUGGAUGCCAUUGUGGAAAGUUUUUCGGUGUGGGAUGAGCUCGCGGCCUAUCACCUUGUUGGUGGGGUAAUGGCCUACCAAGGGGUCGACGGGUAGCCGGCCUGGGAGGGUGUACGGCCACAUUGGGACUGCGGUACGGCCCAGACUCCUACGGGAGGCAGCAGUCGGGAAUAUUGCACAAUGGGCGCAAGCCUGAUACAGCGACGCCGCGUGGGGGAUGACGGCCUUCGGGUUGUAAACUCCUUUCGCUGGGGACGAAGCGCAAGUGACGGUACCUGGAGAAGAAGCACCGGCUAACUACGUG